This 251-nucleotide unclassified non-coding RNA is filed under the name Hevea brasiliensis (rubber tree). Lineage: Eukaryota; Viridiplantae; Streptophyta; Magnoliopsida; Malpighiales; Euphorbiaceae. The record is from RNAcentral.
GGAACUUUAAAAAGCUUGAAAACACAUUAAUAUCUAGACAUGAAAGAAGAGAACAAACUCCAAAAUCCACAUUUUAGUAUUUCAUAGGAAAGGCAAUAUGCCUUCUCAAGGUUGGGUUUGCCUAAAUUGCAAUUGCUUCAAGCAGUUAAGGUUAAAGAAAAAAAAGGAGGCAUAAAAGAAAAAAGAGAAGGAUUUGGAAUGUAUAGGGAGCCAAACACAGCAACUAAAAGAAAUUCAAUUAAUCACCAGCU